Molecule: ribosomal RNA, 647 nt
Filed under: uncultured Actinomycetes bacterium
Lineage: Bacteria; Bacillati; Actinomycetota; Actinomycetes
Description: bacterial SSU rRNA
Rfam family: Bacterial small subunit ribosomal RNA
Source: RNAcentral
CUUGUUGGUGAGGUAACGGCUCACCAAGGCGACGACGGGUAGCCGGCCUGAGAGGGUGACCGGCCACACUGGGACUGAGACACGGCCCAGACUCCUACGGGAGGCAGCAGUGGGGAAUAUUGCACAAUGGGCGCAAGUCUGAUGCAGCAACGCCGCGUGAGGGACGACGGCCUUCGGGUUGUAAACCUCUUUUAGUAGGGAAGAAGCGAAAGUGACGGUACCUGCAGAAAAAGCACCGGCUAACUACGUGCCAGCAGCCGCGGUAAUACGUAGGGUGCAAGCGUUGUCCGGAAUUAUUGGGCGUAAAGAGCUCGUAGGCGGUCUGUCGCGUCUGCUGUGAAAACCCGAGGCUCAACCUCGGGCCUGCAGUGGGUACGGGCAGACUAGAGUGCGGUAGGGGAGAUUGGAAUUCCUGGUGUAGCGGUGGAAUGCGCAGAUAUCAGGAGGAACACCGAUGGCGAAGGCAGAUCUCUGGGCCGUAACUGACGCUGAGGAGCGAAAGCGUGGGGAGCGAACAGGAUUAGAUACCCUGGUAGUCCACGCCGUAAACGUUGGGCGCUAGAUGUGGGGACCAUUCCACGGUUUCCGUGUCGCAGCUAACGCAUUAAGCGCCCCGCCUGGGGAGUACGGAAUCUCUAGAGGAUCCC